GAUGAAGAACGUAGCGAAAUGCGAUACGUAAUGUGAAUUGCAGAAUUCAGUGAAUCAUCGAGUCUUUGAACGCACAUUGCGCCCCCUGAUAUUCCGGGGGGCAUGCCUGUCCGAGCGUCAUUGCUGCCCUCAAGCACGGCUUGUGUGUUGGGCCUCCGUCCUCCUCCCGGGGGACGGGCCCGAAAGGCAGCGGCGGCACCGCGUCCGGUCCUCGAGCGUAUGGGGCUUCGUCACCCGCUCUUGUAGGCCCGGCCGGCGCUUGCCGACACAUCAAUCUUUUUUCCAGGUUGACCUCGGAUCAGGUAGGGAUACCCGCUGAACUUAAGCAUAUCAUAAGCGGAGG
RNAcentral lists this unclassified non-coding RNA (343 nucleotides) under soil metagenome. RNAcentral describes it as "partial contains 5.8S ribosomal RNA, internal transcribed spacer 2, and large subunit ribosomal RNA". The stretch from base 1 to 120 matches the Rfam family "5.8S ribosomal RNA", at positions 35 to 154 of the family's 154-position model. The record is from RNAcentral.